This is a non-coding RNA of Chiloscyllium plagiosum (whitespotted bambooshark), 925 nucleotides long. Lineage: Eukaryota; Metazoa; Chordata; Chondrichthyes; Orectolobiformes; Hemiscylliidae. The record is from RefSeq and is a predicted model, not a curated record.
AAACAGCAAGAAGUCCCCUAAACUGGGAAAGAAAACAUGUCAGCUUCUGUCCCAGAUUCUGUGAAAUGGCUGCAAACUCAGUUCCUGAUACAAACCCAUUGGAAACUUGUCUCAAUCUCCACAGGACUGUGAGAUAUCCCAUUCCAGCGGAGAGUCUGAGGUCCCAGCACACAGAACAAAUACUCAGACUUGAAGCAAAGACCAACAAAACUGUGAAGAUAAACAUCCCAAACUCCGAAACCACAGCAGAAGGACAGGAACUACUGUCAGAAUCUUACCCUCAGAGCUGAGACCAACAAGAGGCAACGCAGUUGGAGCCAAACCGUUGAACACAUAUCCCGCUGUUUGGACAGAGGGGAUUGGACAGCCCCUUGGGAGAGGAGUGUCGAUAUAACCACAGGAACCCAGCAGUGACCAGAAAUGAAUCAUCACUUCAACAAAGAGGCAAAAACAUUAAGUUUUGUGAUGUCACCUGGGCUCACCCCACAGACCCCAAUACUACCUACCCCACCCUGUUACACACACCCAGUCUCCCCCCCACCCCAAGUACCUCCCUCCAGGACUUCGCCCUGAGAAACUGUCUCAUCAGUACGUGGGAUAAUUGCUCCACAUUAAUAUGGUCUCCUUGGAAAUUAAACACAGACGAUGCCAAAUAUCAUCAGACGAUAUUAAUGAUUCAAUUACUUUUCAUCAGUUUCUGAUGACCUUUAAAGACACACAGAUGAAGACAUUCAGGAAAUCACUCAAGGCUUGGGUUAAGGUUCACGAUACUUUGAGGGGAUACUGAAGGCCAGAACUCGGAGAUGGAGUCAUCUCCUCCACCUUUCUGGCUGCUGCAUAUGUUCACACACACACACACACACACACAGGUCCUGGGGGCAGCAUUUGUCUCAAACAUGGACCCCAAGAGAGCUGGGUAUUCAGA